Molecule: long non-coding RNA, 354 nt
Filed under: Mytilus galloprovincialis (Mediterranean mussel)
Lineage: Eukaryota; Metazoa; Mollusca; Bivalvia; Mytilida; Mytilidae
Source: RNAcentral
UCUGGGUACUAAAUCCUUAUAUCUGUCUUCCCAUUCAUAAAAUCGUACAUGUACAAAUUUCCUUGUGAUACCAGGAAACUUGAUAAAUCUUUAACCUUAAAAAGUUUUCUGUGUUGAUAUAAAAUAAGUUUGCGGUAAAUGUCAAAUAAUGGCUGACUAACAUGGACUUGCAUUACAUGACUUACAUUAUCAUUUCCUCCAGGUGUUUUAGUCUUAGAGCCAUUGGUAUUAUUAGGGUUUAAUUGUUCAGAUGUCAACGGAAAGGGACAUUAAGUAAUGGUGCAGAUAUCCUGUUAACCUUAGAAAUGCAUCAACUACGCUCGUCUAAUAACAGUCCAACAAGUUAUAUCUAUU